This 439-nucleotide ribosomal RNA is filed under the name Acanthamoeba sp. AcP15. RNAcentral describes it as "SSU rRNA". It matches the Rfam family "Eukaryotic small subunit ribosomal RNA", at positions 754 to 1088 of the family's 1831-position model. Lineage: Eukaryota; Discosea; Longamoebia; Acanthamoebidae. The record is from RNAcentral.
ACCGUGAAAAAAUUAGAGUGUUCAAAGCAGGCAGAUCCAAUUUUCUGCCACCGAAUACAUUAGCAUGGGAUAAUGGAAUAGGACCCUGUCCUCCUAUUUUCAGUUGGUUUUGGCAGCGCGAGGACUAGGGUAAUGAUUAAUAGGGAUAGUUGGGGGCAUUAAUAUUUAAUUGUCAGAGGUGAAAUUCUUGGAUUUAUGAAAGAUUAACUUCUGCGAAAGCAUCUGCCAAGGAUGUUUUCAUUAAUCAAGAACGAAAGUUAGGGGAUCGAAGACGAUCAGAUACCGUCGUAGUCUUAACCAUAAACGAUGCCGACCAGCGAUUAGGAGACGUUGAAUACAAAACACCACCAUCGGCGCGGUCGUCCCUGGCUCGUCGUCUCACGACGGCGGGCGGGGGCGGUUUAGCCCGAUGGCACCGGUGAAUGACUCCCUAGCAGCU